Molecule: ribosomal RNA, 253 nt
Filed under: uncultured bacterium
Lineage: Bacteria
Description: partial 16S ribosomal RNA
Rfam family: Bacterial small subunit ribosomal RNA
Source: RNAcentral
UACAGAGGUCCCAAGCGUUACUGAGAAUCACUGGGUUUAAAGGGUGCGUCGGUGGUCCGUUAAGUCAGUUGUGAAAUCCCCGGGCUCAACCCGGGAACUGCUUCUGAUACUGGCGGACUUGAGGCCAGUAGGGGUCACUAGAACUGACGGUGGAGCGGUGAAAUGCGUAGAUAUCGUCAGGAAUGCCGGUGGUGAAGACGGGUGACUGGGCUGGUUCUGACACUGAGGCACGAAAGCGUGGGGAGCGAACGGG